Molecule: non-coding RNA, 571 nt
Organism: Misgurnus anguillicaudatus (oriental weatherfish)
Lineage: Eukaryota; Metazoa; Chordata; Actinopteri; Cypriniformes; Cobitidae
Source: RefSeq, a predicted model, not a curated record
ACAGACUGUGAACGUGAUAUCUACCCAGAAAGCUGUAAGCAGCAGAGCCGGUGAGCAAUACUCGAAGUUUCAGUAACAGUGCCCUUGUAUCCUAGCGACCACCUGUGGAGAGAGAGGAAAACGAGAGUGAAUAAUUGGAGAACAGACUGUGAACGUGAUACCUACCCAGAAAGCUGUAAGCAGCAGAGCCGUGAUCACCUGUGGGGAAUAAGGAGAACGAGGGUGGACGUACGACGGGGAACGUGAAGGCACGCGGGGCGAGACCCCCUGCCGAACUGAGGAAAGGUACACGGACAGUGGGAAAUCCCCUACCAGUCACACCGAAAUUGUCUGCCUCCAGGAAAGAAGAAGGAGGGCGCCACGGUUAGCAGGGUCCAGGCCGGAGCCUGACGUUUCCCUCUUCCCCCCCGGCUUAUGGUGGUUGGCACCCCUGUUGCCUUUGCCCCAGUCUGCCCGUGGCUGUAGUCUCCCUGGAGGGAGGAGAAGAAGCCUAUUAGUUUUAAAUUCCCCUUUCCCCAAUUCCCCAGUUCUUUUAAGUAUUUAAAUUAAAUAAAGCUUGUUUUAAAUUUUA